UAAGGAAUAUUGGUCAAUGGACGCAAGUCUGAACCAGCCAUGCCGCGUGAAGGAUGAAGGUCCUCUGGAUUGUAAACUUCUUUUAUCUGGGACGAAAACGGGAUUUUUAUCUCAAUUGACGGUACCAGAGGAAUAAGCACCGGCUAACUCCGUGCCAGCAGCCGCGGUAAUACGGAGGGUGCGAGCGUUAUCCGGAUUUACUGGGUUUAAAGGGUGCGUAGGUGGGCUUAUAAGUCAGUGGUGAAAUCCUACAGCUUAACUGUAGAACUGCCUUUGAUACUUUUAUUCUUGAGUUCGGGAGAGAGAGACGGAAUUCCAGGUGUAGUGGUGAAAUACGUAGAUAUCUGGAAGAACACCAGUUGCGAAGGCGGUCUCUUGGUCCGACACUGACGCUGAGGCGCGAAAGCGUGGGGAGCAAACA
Molecule: ribosomal RNA, 421 nt
Filed under: uncultured bacterium
Lineage: Bacteria
Description: bacterial SSU rRNA
Rfam family: Bacterial small subunit ribosomal RNA
Source: RNAcentral